UGCCAGCAGCCGCGGUAAGACGGAGGGGGCUAGCGUUGUUCAGAAUUACUGGGCGUAAAGCGUGUGUAGGCGGUUCGGAAAGAAAGAUGUGAGAUCCCAGGGCUCAACCUUGGAACUGCAUUUUUAACUGCCGAGCUAGAGUAUGUCAGAGGGGGGUAGAAUUCCACGUGUAGCAGUGAAAUGCGUAGAUAUGUGGAGGAAUACCGAUGGCGAAGGCAGCCCCCUGGGAUAAUACUGACGCUCAGACACGAAAGCGUGGGGAGCAAACAGGAUUAGAUA
Molecule: ribosomal RNA, 279 nt
Filed under: uncultured bacterium
Lineage: Bacteria
Description: partial 16S ribosomal RNA
Rfam family: Bacterial small subunit ribosomal RNA
Source: RNAcentral